This 200-nucleotide long non-coding RNA is filed under the name Elaeis guineensis (African oil palm). RNAcentral's name for it is "long non-coding RNA (EGUI_LNC051040)". Lineage: Eukaryota; Viridiplantae; Streptophyta; Magnoliopsida; Arecales; Arecaceae. The record is from RNAcentral.
AUUAUCUGGGUCUAGAUUUUGCUAAAUUGAAAUACAUUGAUACAUUAACUCCUACUGAUUCGGAGGGAUCAAUCCCAUCUUGAUUCAUGCACUAACUUGAUAAGUACUUAGUUGCACCUAGAAACCUUCCAUCAUUAAAUUAGAAACUCAAUUAGUCUGACAUCAAAGUACAGUGAGUUGCUUGUAAGUUACUAUGGUGA